This 1499-nucleotide long non-coding RNA is filed under the name Gossypium barbadense (sea-island cotton). RNAcentral's name for it is "long non-coding RNA (GBAR_LNC020492)". Lineage: Eukaryota; Viridiplantae; Streptophyta; Magnoliopsida; Malvales; Malvaceae. The record is from RNAcentral.
AAAAAUAGAAAUAAUAUUAGCAUAAAAAUAUUAAACGGAUUGAUAAAUCAUAAACAAAUCAAUUAAAAGGACUACAUUGAAAUCAAAACUAAAUUACAAGAAAAAAACAAAAGUAAAACAAAACGGAGGGCUAGAGUAUAAUGCGCGAAUAACAUGAGGGCCAAAUGGGAAAUAUUCCCUUCCCUCAAAACGCAGUGCCUUGACAUGGAUUAAAAUGAAACAAAAACAAAAUGAGAGAUUAAAUCUGAAAAGAAAUAAAAGGAUGGGAUUGAAGUGCGCUUGAAUAGUGGAGGGGUUGUGCAAGCAAAUAGACCAUCAAACGAAAUGCGCUGAUCCUUCCCUCGGAUCGGGUCACCCCGCAGGUUAUAGGGCCAAUACAGCGCCGUUUUGGUGGCCACUGAUUAGGCCCCAAACGCCGCCAUUUCGACACCCCACAAGAACCAAGUUUAAAACCCUAAACAAGGUUAUUCUGCCACUAAGACAUAACAGAGAAAACUUUGCCUCUCCCCUCUCCUCUUGCGCCGUUCAUCGCCUCAAAAUAAGGGCUCUCCGAAUCCCAUGCACGGUUCUGAUUGCGGCGGAGCGAGCUCGAGACCGGUCACCAGGUAAAUUUCCUUUCUCUAAACUUACCCCGUUUUUAAAUUUCUACACUAACAAUGAAAAAAAAAACAAAAGAGAAACAUGGAAAAACAAAGAAAGAUUUCAAAAAUCACCUUAUGAAACUAGGUUUUACACUAUUUUCUUUGAAUAUUUUCUUUUUCGCUUUUUUAUUCAAUCUCGUAUGUAUGUGUCCCCUUUACAGUAUUCCAAUGGCUCUUUUAUAGCCAGAUUUACAGAAAAAAUAAAACAAAAUAAAAAAAAUGAAAUUCCCUCAAAUCCCAUCUGUUAUCUGUUGCUGCUAGCUUUCGUCUGUAUUUGCAGGUAUUCGGCCAGCCUGGAACAACAGAGAGAGGCAUAUCCAUGUGAAGAAGAUGCACGCGCCUGAUGGUGUUGCACGCGCAAGGUCUGGGCCUGAGAGAUUUGGGUUUAGAAAAUUGGGUUUGGGGUCUAUUAGUUGAUUCAGAUUUAGGGUCUGUUUAGGUUUGGCUGAUUUUCGGCUAGUAAUCUGGGUUUAGGUUUAGUAUUUGGGUUAAGGACUGAAUUAGGCUUUGAAUCUGUAAAUGGACAUUUAUUUUUUGAAUUUUUGAUUUGAUUUUAAUAUUUAUAAAAACUAGGCUGUUAAUAGUGAAUAUUUUAAUUUAAUUUAUUUUCUGGUAUUUAUUAGGCCGGGCAAAAUGGGUUAUUACACUAAUCUUGGAUCCAACAUCCAACUUGUUGGGGUAUACAAGAAAAAGACAAUCAAGGGUGUUUCAGAUUUUCUUUUAUUCCUUAAUCCUCCACUAAAACCAUACGCGUGCUUUGCACCAAAAAGCCUCACUCUUUUUUCUGCAACUUUAUCCAAAAAAUAAUACUCAGUUUCCUCAACCCUUUCUUUAUCUGAUCUUUUACAUGAAAGUUUG